This is a non-coding RNA of Cinara cedri, 426 nucleotides long. The record is from the annotation of a GenBank genome assembly. NCBI's taxonomy places the organism in Eukaryota, Metazoa, Arthropoda, Insecta, Hemiptera, Aphididae.
GGUCCGCUCUCGCUAACAAUUACUAUUACGAUAACAAUAUUGUUAUAAAAUAAUACAACGGUAACGUAAUGCGUUGUACGUUUUAAUAUCAUUGACUAUUAUUAUGCGUUUGUCGCGCGCGCUUGUGUGUGAACAUACCGAAAUAGAAAGUUUAAGAUAAAAGCGUUUUUAGGCAUUUAAAUCGCGGUGAAACGCGCACACUGGGGACGUUCGAUCGAUUUAUUUUCUUUUUCUAAUCUCACGGACGUUCUACUGGAAAACACAGUGAGAUUGAGAAUGCAAACGAAAAAAGAAAAAAAGAAGACCGUUUGAUAAAUUAUAAACGAAAAAUCGAUCGGCCGGUUAAUCGUGAAUCGUAUUUUUUUUCGAUUUCCGGAUCGGUACAAUGCCGGCGCAAGUCGGUACAUUGGCUACGGACGAACAGCG